UGGAUAGAAGGCAGAUGAAACAGGAGACAAGGGGUCCUAACUGUUGCGGUUGCUGCUUCCUUCAGAUGGUAUCACAGAACAGAAAUGAAUCAACUACCAUGAUCAAUUCACAACAAGUAAAUCGCAA
Molecule: long non-coding RNA, 127 nt
Organism: Cyprinus carpio (common carp)
Lineage: Eukaryota; Metazoa; Chordata; Actinopteri; Cypriniformes; Cyprinidae
Exons: 2
Source: RefSeq, a predicted model, not a curated record